CAAUAAUAACAAUAAUAACAAUAAUAAUAAUAAUAAUAAUAAAAUUAAACAACAAAAUAAAUCUAUUGAAAUUAAUAUUGAAGAAAAUAACUUUAAUAAAUAUGGUACUAUUAUAGAUACUGUAACUGAUACAUUUGAUCGUUAUGUUGAUACAAAUGUACCUGUUGUAGCUAAUAAUAAUAUAUUAGAAACAAAAGACAUAAAUUUAAAUAACCCAUUAUUACAAAACAACCUGAACGUUAAUAAUAUUGAUAAUAGUGGUAGCAAUAACAGUAAUAACAUUAAUGAUUAUAAUUAUAAUAAAAAAAAAUAGUUCAUUAGAUAUACAUAGUAAAAAUGAAAAAACGAAUAUAAAAUUUAAUAAUAAUAAUGUAAUAAAUAUAAAUACAUGUAUAAAUAAAAAUAUGGAUCUUAUGAAAAGUGAUAUUAUAUUAUACAUUGAUGGAAUUAGUACUACUCAUAUACAAAAAGAAUUCAACAAAUUACAAAUAAGUAAAGAAAGUUCUAACAAUAAUAAUCAUGAAAAUAAUAAUAAUCAGGACAUAAUAUAUUACAAUAAAGAAGAAUAUUAUAAAAAACAAGUUGAACAAUAUCAACAGAUUGGUAUUGAUCAACAGUUUGGUGGUAAUAAUAACAAUAGUAUUAACAAAGACACGGUAUAUAAAAAAACAGACGAUAACAUUAAUAAUACAUUAAAUUGUAAUAUUAGUUUGAAUGAAAAUGUAAAUGUUAAUGAUAAUACAACAGAACAUAUAUCUAAAAAAAAUAUAACAAAUCUUAAUUUAUAUUUUUACACACAACAUAAGAGUGAGUUGAAUAACAUUAAUACUAAUGUGAAUAAUGACAGCUGUAUUAACAAAUCAGUAGAUUAUAAAAAUGAAAGUGUAAUGGGAACAAAAGAAGUGGCAGAAACAGUAACAGAAACAAAAGCAGUAACAGAAACAAAAGCAGUAACAGAANNNNNNNNNNGCAGUAACAGAAACAAAAGCAGUAACAGAAACAAAAGCAGUAACAGAUACAAAAGCAGUAACAGAAACAAAAGCA
RNAcentral lists this long non-coding RNA (1044 nucleotides) under Piliocolobus tephrosceles (Ugandan red Colobus). RNAcentral describes it as "lncRNA (ENSPTEG00000014142.1)". The record is from RNAcentral. Lineage: Eukaryota; Metazoa; Chordata; Mammalia; Primates; Cercopithecidae.